Molecule: ribosomal RNA, 306 nt
Filed under: Craspedostauros australis
Lineage: Eukaryota; Bacillariophyta; Bacillariophyceae; Mastogloiales; Achnanthaceae
Description: partial Bacterial large subunit ribosomal RNA
Rfam family: Bacterial large subunit ribosomal RNA
Source: RNAcentral
GGAAGCCGUCCUGUCAGGGUAUGGUGGAGCGUCCAGAAAAGCACAUGUAGGCAUGAGUAACGAUAAAAUGGGUGCGAAACCCAUUCGCCGAUAGACUAAGGUUUCCAAUUCAACGCUAAUCGGAAUUGGGUUAGGCGGGACCUAAGGGAGAGCCGAGAGGUGUACCCGAUGGCAAGCCAGUUGAUAUUCUGGCCCCCGGACUAGAAAGUGAUGCAGGGACGCAGGAAUGAAAGUGCCGCGAGCGGACGGAAGUGCUCGUUAAAGCCCGUACCUAUUGAGAUGGUAGUUAAGUACGCCAACUUAGGG